CUUUAAAUCGGCAAAACAGAUAAUCCUCUGGGCACUUUCCCUUUAAAAUCCGGUCGAACAUUAUAGGCGCCUAAACCGGCGCGUAAACUAAAAACGGCUGUUUAUUGUUUAGUUAGCUGGCUGGCUAGCUAGCUAAGUUAGAAACGCGCUCCUUUUGAACUUCAGCUAACGGGCUGUUACCGAAAUUAAAUUUUCCAGUUAGAUAUGGCUACCUGCGAAUGCCAUUUCCAAAAUACUUCAGCUUUUCUAGUUAACGAUAUUGCCGUUUGACAAUUCUGGAGUCUGUCGCCGAAUGGGGCCAGCUAUUUAACACCCGAGAAGUACAUUUACAUAGCCAUUUAAAGUAUUUUUUUUAUAACUUAUUCGCUCUCGGGUUGUGUUAGAUUUCACAUUAUUCAAAAUGACUUCCGCUUUGGAAGACCCAACGCUUGAGAGACAUUUUAAGGGUCACAGAGACACCAUAACUAGUGUGGACUUCAACAGCAACAUGAAGCAAAUAGCCACAGGCUCUAUGGACUCGUGUAUCAUGAUCUGGAACAUGAAGAGUCAGAUGAGAGCUUAUCGCUUUGUGGGACACAAGGACGCAGUGAUGUCCGUCCAGUUUUCCCCCUCAGGACACCUUGUAGCAUCAGCAUCCAGGGACAAGACUGUCCGCCUCUGGGUACCCAGUGUGAAGGGUGAGUCGACCUCCUUCCGUGCACACACUGGCACAGUCCGCAGCGUGAGCUUCUCCGGCGAUGGCCAGUCCCUGGUCACAGCCUCUGAUGACAAGACCGUCAAAGUGUGGACGGUGCACCGACAGAAGUUCCUAUUCUCCCUCAAUCAGCACAUCAACUGGGUGCGCUGUGCCAAGUUUUCUCCAGAUGGUCGGCUGAUUCUUUCAUCCAGUGACGACAAAACCGUCAAGGUCUGGGACAAAACCAGCCGCGAGUGUGUGCACUCCUUUUAUGAGCAUGGAGGGUGUGUGACGCAUGCUGAUUUCCACCCCAGUGGCACCUGCAUCGCGGCCGCCAGCACGGACAGCACCGUCAAGGUGUGGGACAUCCGCACCACCAAGCUGCUGCAGCACUACCAAGUGCACAGCGCGGUGGUGAAUGGGCUGUCCUUCCACCCAUCUGGGAACUACCUCAUCACGGCCUCCAAUGACUCCACACUGAAGGUGCUGGACCUGCUGGAAGGGCGGCUGCUGUACACUUUGCACGGACAUCAGGGCUCUGCUACCUGUGUGUCUUUCUCCAGGACCGGUGACUACUUCGCCUCUGGUGGAUCAGACGAGCAGGUCAUGGUGUGGAAGACUAACUUCGACUCCGCUGAUUAUGGUGAGGUGCUGCGGGUCCAGAAGAGUGCUGCCGGAGCAGAGGGCCCAGCGCUGGCCUCGGACCCCCCCCCUGGCCAGUGCUCGGAGACCCCUAGGCUCCCGGAGAACCCGGGGCCGCUUCCGGGCACAAGAGGGCGCACCAGGAGCACGGGCCAGGCCUUGGAAAUCCCCAGAGAGCGCCACCCGCAGCCUGAGACUGCCGUGUCUGACGCGCUGACCAGCACUCUGGAGCACAUCGUGGGCCAGCUGACUGUUCUCACCCAGUUGGGAGAGUUUAUGCCUUAGGUGUGACCACAGGAAGUUCUCUCCAUGAGAAGGACACGUUAAACACGCUGGAAUCGUUUAGAAGGUCACCAAGAGAUACGCCGUUUGUAUAGUUUAUUCAGCAAUUCAGAGUCCUUUGGGCCAGAACACAGCUGCAAAUGGAAACUCUGAUUCAGUCUCUUGCAGUUGCUGCUUCACAUCAGAUUCAUGCAUCUUCUUUGGUUUUUAAGUGAUUUUGACAUUUUUUGACUUAUGGGCUGUUCCCAAGAGCUCAUGGGUAUGUGUUUGGCUCAAGAAGACCAUUUCGGGUUUCUUCCAGGGCCACCAAUGCAAAGCUUUGUCCUUCACUUUAAUUCAGGCACAAUCUCUCUCUCUUGUGGGGUUUUACAUGGUAUUUUCUGUAGUUGCUUUUCUGUGAUUGUAAUGGUACCAGUUAGCACACUGUAGUCUGGUGCCUUCCUCUUGUAGAUAAAAUGUCACUCAGCAUGCAGUUUUUUGUUUUGUUUUAUAUUCUACACAGGAGCAGAAAUAGCUUUAAUGUAUGUAGAGCUAGCUAUCUGCAGGUCGAAUAUGACUGAAAGAUGUUCGAAACUUGAACAUAUGAACGCAAAGUAGAAUGACUACUUCAAACCUACUUUACAUUUGACUGGCAUAUAUAGCAAGUUCAUCUCCGCUUGCUUGUGUGGGUUUUGAAGGCACUUGCUGCCUUGUUUUGGUAACUGUAUUUCCUACAGGCCUCAAGCUUAAAAAUGUAUUGGAUCGAUAUGCAUCGAUCAGCCCCUCUCUUAGGGUAGGAGACUCCAGAAUUGCAACAAAUGUCUCAUAUUAGUACUCUGAAAGUAUUUCAAUUGAGCAUUUGAUUUCAGAUUUAUGUUCAGAUUUGUAUAUUUGU
Molecule: RNA transcript, 2474 nt
Organism: Paramormyrops kingsleyae
Lineage: Eukaryota; Metazoa; Chordata; Actinopteri; Osteoglossiformes; Mormyridae
Gene: poc1a
Gene name: POC1 centriolar protein A
Source: RefSeq, a predicted model, not a curated record